GUCAAGUACUGUACUGUGGGUUGCUUUCCUGAAUGUCAGCAGUUUCCAUGGUUUCCAGUUAGGAUUUGGAAUGCUAGUAAGUUCAUUAGCAUUCUAUUACAGAUGGAUAAACCAUCUUCUCAUAUAAGGGCAUUAGAAAACUACUGUUGGCAACCAUCUAACACUUUUCUUUUUUGAGAAGAUACAAAGGUAAAUGGAUAAAAGUAAAAUUGUGAUACAUAAGUGUAACACGGAAUGGUACCCAUGAAUUAAAAAGAAUGAACUGUUGAUACAAAACACAGAUGAAUGCCCAAGCCAUUAUGAUGUACUACAUACAAUGCCAGAGGUCACAAUGACGGGAAAGAACAGUCAAGAAAUUUAUGCCUUAUCUAAGGCAAAGGAAAUCCUACUCACUCCCAAAGCAAGAAUCAUUUCACAAUAAUCACCUGAAGUGUUCCUGGCAUGGUAUCAACACAGUGUACACAGAAUAACAAGAAGCAAGCAAAGGAGCCAAGGAGGCUGAGAGAUGGGCUCAACACUGUGAGCAAUUGCAAUGCAGAAAUUGAUGUGCUAACUUUCUGUCUGCCAAAGCUUGCUGGGACCAUAUACAGAAUCCAAAUCAGGACUCUAUCCUGAAACUUGAACCUAGGCACAAGCAGACUGCACAUAAGCUCAAGAAACAAACAUCACAGGAAAUACAAAAGAGUAAUGUUCAAAUGAAGACAGUGGUUUAACUCUUAAAAGAAAUGA
Molecule: long non-coding RNA, 729 nt
Organism: Chinchilla lanigera (long-tailed chinchilla)
Lineage: Eukaryota; Metazoa; Chordata; Mammalia; Rodentia; Chinchillidae
Exons: 4
Source: RefSeq, a predicted model, not a curated record